Panicum virgatum (switchgrass) is the source of this 3523-nucleotide long non-coding RNA. RefSeq lists it as uncharacterized. The record is from RefSeq and is a predicted model, not a curated record. NCBI's taxonomy places the organism in Eukaryota, Viridiplantae, Streptophyta, Magnoliopsida, Poales, Poaceae. The transcript has 5 exons.
UGGCAUGCGUUCCCGUCCGCCGCCGUCCGCCGGACGCCGGGGCCGCCACAUGAGGCCAGAGCUCCGGUCAUGGGAGUGCCGCAAGAUAGCACCUGUCCCUCCUUGUGGGCAUCCUAAUCCUUUCCCCCAGCCCACUCAUCCACCACCCCUUCUCACCUCGGUACGGGGCGCUCGAUGGAGAUUGGAGAGCAAGGGCGAAAUGUUCCUGCGCUACGGGCCGUGCGGCGGGAUCACUGCCGGAACAGCGACCUGCUGCCGCGCCGUGGACACCCCGCUGCUGCACCGCAUGUCCGCACCCAACCCUGCAUCCUCGAUCGGGACAUCGGGAGUGGCCCCUAGUCACCGCCGCGCCCUCCCCCUCCGGCCGCCGGCUAACUGCUCCGUGAGUUGAGGAGGGAGAGGCUAACCGUUUGGAUUGAUUUGAUGCAACUGAAAUCGCUUGGAUUAGGGUGCAUUCUGCAUAUUUUGUUCGCAGCUGCUUGCAUAAUGUGAGAUGAUGCAGUUGCAGUCUAUGGUUGUUUGGGCGAUCGCAAAGCAUUCAGUAAACUGCAAAAUCAGUAGCACUGCAUAACAUGCUUGGGCAACUUUGCAAUGCAUACAACAAAUAUUAUUGAUUAAAGGAAUUCCGAAGUGGAAAAUACUAUGAUGUCCAUCCAGCAACGGCUUGUCUCUCUAUUUAACAGAACUAGCCGAAGAAAUGGCAUCGACCUUGUUGACAGCAAGAAUCUAUUCGACGAUGAGGUGCUGUGCUGCAGUGAUGAAGAGACAGAACUGCCUGUCCAGCUUUAGAAGCACCUCGGACUAUAGUUGAGCAUCAGCGUGGGAUGUCUCAAUAGUUGGUGGCAAAUUCACCUGCACGAGUGCCUAAUUUUAUGAUAGAUUAAUAUCGUCACAAGAGCUGCCUGCUGUUGAACAUUUUGACUUUAGCAUUCAUAAUUCUUCAUGCCACAUUGUCCUGCCUGCUUGUGCUUCCAGCACUUGGAAUCUGAAGUUUGCAAUUUCAAGAUGAACCACAUGCUGCCCAAGCUUCUUAACUGGUGGCACCAUCCGAACCACAUCAUCAUGUUCCAAGUAUUGGCAGCAAGAAUCAGAAUAUAUAGUGGCUUACUCUGGACAAAUCAAUUCUCAAUUCUCAAUUGUUUGCUCAUAUCUCGUGGCGAGAGCUGGCAUGCUAUCAGUUAAGCGGAGCAAGAUCCACUUAACAAGGAUCUUGUGCCUGUUGUUAAGCCACAUCCAAUGUGAAUGUUAGCAGUGUCCAUCUCAUCAAACAACUAGUACUAAUUCUUUUAAUGAUACAAAAAUAAGGAGUUAAAGGGACUUUUUCUUCGAUGCAAAAUUUAUCUGAAGCUCCCAAUUUCAGGUUAGAGUUUAGCAAUUUAGUUGUAUUCCGUGUCAAGUUUGGACAAGAAAAUUCAAAGAUCAGACAAUUUGGACAACAUGAAAUGCUAAGAGUGUUGAGAAGCGAAACUCUGCAUUGGAUCAGUCUCCUGAAGACAAUCUGAAGUUUGCUCUCGAGAUCAACAAUCUCCAACUCCAAGAUCUGCACCUGCUCCUCCUUGCACGUGACUCUCUUCUUCUGGAAUGCCUUGGACACAAGAGACCACUUGCUAGUUGUCGACGUCUGGAUCUCCUUUGACAGGAGGUACAAUGUCAUUUCCAGCAUCAGUAGAGCAAUCUCUCUUGCUUCAGACAAUAGCUUGACCACUCUGCAGCUAUCAGUGUCAAGAACAACCUUUCUGUUGAUCUUCUUGAGCUGCUUCUGGGCCUUCUUGACCAAACGGGCAUAAGACUGAGCCUUGGCCUGAACAGCCACAUUGUCUCCUCUCUUGAGACCCAAUUGCAACUCUUGGACGCUAGUCCUGAGCUCUGUGAAGCUCUCUUGAACGUCAUUGCAGAGGUCAAGCAAGACGAGAGAGCGCUCAAGCUCCUCCUCGACUGCCUUUCUCUGUUGACACUGGCUACUGGGAAAGCAUAUGAGCUCAUCGAUGCAGCUGUAGAUGUCCCCGAGCUUGGACAGACCAUCAACUAUGGUUUUGAUGGUCACAGAAGGAGAAGAGACAGUUGCCAUCAGGUUCUGAAUCUGUUCCUCGACAUUGGUUCCGUUGGAACAAGGGCUUGAGGGCACACUCGCAGAUCUCAGGUGGAAGGCCAUGCUUGGAAUGGAAGGGGAAGUUAUGAAGCCUGUUUCCGCUGAAGAUGUUAUGGAAGGGAAGUCAAGUGCAAUGGUGUCUUCCCAGCUUUGGCUUCCAUCUUUAUAAAGGUGAAGAGGUUGAAGCAACCUCACCGGCGAACCAGCAGACAGCAAGAAUCAUUAUCAUGUGUGAUCGUAGUGACCUGCAACAGAAGCCACUAGACCCAAGAGGCAUUGCUGGUUGAGCUUGAUUAGGAGGCUGUCAUGUCUGCAUUAUGUCUGGCAACAGACCUUCACUGGUGAAUGGCCAUCAAGUUUAGAAGCAGAUUCUGAUCAUUAUCAAUAAAUUAACAUGCAAGUUGCCGGUCGAAGCACAAACAGCUAGUUGACCUCCAGGCUCCCAAGACACAUUUAACCAGCUGAUCAGAGCAUUACACAAUGGCAAUGGCGAUGGCCACUAUAAUUGGUGAACUCGGAUAAGGUGCCGAACUAGCGAUGUUGUCUUCUUGACCUGUCUGUUGCAAACCAUCGAAGUAUCAUGCCAAAAGAAACUUGCCAUUCCAUAUUCUGAUCUGGAACAUUAGAGGCCUCAGCACUUCUGCUCUGUGCUUACUGUAGUGUGAACAGUUCACAAUCUGUUCCACGUCUCCAAGAGACAUGAUGCCUCCAAUCGACCGCUACCGCCAAUUGACUGCUGGACCAAAUUUCGUCACCAACAUUGCUUACCUUCUGGCUCACUUAACCAGGCCGCCCUCUGUUCUACAUAUCUUUCUACCAGGGCCAAUCUACCAGUUCUGCAGUUCAUUGCCAUGAUCCAAGAGUGACAAAACAAGAUCUAUGUAUGACUCCAGAGACUCGCGAAAGAUUUCCCACGGCGUCGAUGAUAAUUUACACACAAGGGUGACCUCCAUGGCUCCAUUCCUCACCAUCUGGGUUCACCACUUUUUGUGAACGUGCCAAUGUGAUCGCACGGCGAGAUCAUAUCACGUGCUGCUGCAACUCAUUGACAAAUGCACAGCGGAGACGAUGUUGUGGGAGGCGUAGAGUUUUGAGCAACAAUUGUGCUAUGCAGACAUGCAGUGCUGGUAAGCCGGAGGAUACAUACACAAAAGGGUCAAUUGUGACGACGACGUCUUCGACCUGAUGCGUUUGCUUGUUUCUCCUUUUUCAUCUUGACUCUUGGCUUGUUGAGCGUGGAGGAUGUUUUUGCAGGGUCUGCAAUCUUUUUCUCCCUACUGGCUACGGCUGGUGCUGACUUUGUAUUGACGUCAUCACUUAUCGACAUGUAUAUACUUUUUUUUUUGAAACGAAAUCGACAUGUAUAUACCUGGCCCAGAUUUUUACGCAGGUGACGCUGUGCACGUUUACUGGUCGGGGUUUCCUUUUUGCAAA